AACCCGACUGGAGGUGAACUAUGCCUGCACAGAUUGAAGUCAGAGGAAACUCUGAUGGAGG
This 61-nucleotide ribosomal RNA is filed under the name Tritrichomonas suis. Its description in RNAcentral is "partial 28S rRNA". Lineage: Eukaryota; Parabasalia; Tritrichomonadida; Tritrichomonadidae. The record is from RNAcentral.